This is a non-coding RNA of Salmo salar (Atlantic salmon), 58 nucleotides long. Lineage: Eukaryota; Metazoa; Chordata; Actinopteri; Salmoniformes; Salmonidae. The record is from Rfam.
UGGUUCAGUUGGUAGAGCAUGGUGUUUGCAACGCCAGGGUUGUGGGUUCGAUUCCCAU